Molecule: ribosomal RNA, 465 nt
Filed under: uncultured bacterium
Lineage: Bacteria
Description: partial 16S ribosomal RNA
Rfam family: Bacterial small subunit ribosomal RNA
Source: RNAcentral
GAUGAACGCUGGCGGCGUGCUUAACACAUGCAAGUCGAACGAUGAAGCCCAGCUUGCUGGGUGGAUUAGUGGCGAACGGGUGAGUAACACGUGAGUAACCUGCCCUUAACUCUGGGAUAAGCCUGGGAAACUGGGUCUAAUACCGGAUAGGAGCGCCUACCGCAUGGUGGGUGUUGGAAAGAUUUAUCGGUUUUGGAUGGACUCGCGGCCUAUCAGCUUGUUGGUGAGGUAAUGGCUCACCAAGGCGACGACGGGUAGCCGGCCUGAGAGGGUGACCGGCCACACUGGGACUGAGACACGGCCCAGACUCCUACGGGAGGCAGCAGUGGGGAAUAUUGCACAAUGGGCGAAAGCCUGAUGCAGCGACGCCGCGUGAGGGAUGACGGCCUUCGGGUUGUAAACCUCUUUCAGUAGGGAAGAAGCGAAAGUGACGGUACCUGCAGAAGAAGCACCGGCUAACUACGU